GGUAGUGUGGGAGGGGUUGGGAGGAUCCGGUUGGGGUGGGCAGCUACAAUAAGAUUGUUCUCUUGGUAAAUGCAAUCAUCGCGAACUUAGUGUAACAUGUUUUAUAUAUAUAUAUAUAUAUAUAUAUAUAUAUACCGAUUAAUUCUAUUGUUACAGUUCUGGUGUUAAAUAUGUGUAACUUUAUAGAAACAGCCGGAUUUAUUUAAGUGGAUGAAGAUGUUAUAUGGUAAUUAAGUCCCUGAUGUUGAAAUACUGUAUUACGGUAUACAGUGUAUUAUGAUAAAGGUAGUUUUGUUCACUAGAGUCGCAGCUUGGUAAGAGUGACCCCUGGUGGGACAACCAGGCAUCCCCAGUGUGUACUACAGUACUAAGAUGUGAUAUAUUGACCUACCUGAAGACCGUAGUCCGCUUUUUUUAUACAAACAGUUGUUGUGGGAACGAGCCAUCACUACUUCGCCCAUGCUUGUUGAUACGCUUACAGUGGCAGGUGUUGCCCGGGCCCCAUCACCAACACUGGUAGGUCAGUGUUCCCUUCUAAACGAGUCUUCACAAAAUUACCGAUGGUCACUCAACAGUCUCUGUGUAAUUGUUUCAGCAUUUUGGCAGCCAUCUUUGUGACGUAGCUUAUGUGAACCGAUUAAAAAUGCUUUCCGUCAUCGUCGUUUCCAGGAAGGAAGAUUCGCCGUCGGGAGGGAGACACUGGGCGUUCACUCGACCUGUCAGGUACUGUGCCGACCCGCGCGGCGUCCUCAGGUACACAACACAGUUUAACCCUUUAGAGGCCAGCCGUACACUGAGGUAUUUUAUUCUGGCCAACACCAAAUGAAUAUAUUCACCCGAGAGAAACACCUGACCUCUCAAGGGUUAAGUCAGCUUUUACAAAGAACAUGUGUGUCAGGCGGUGUCAAAGAGUGUGUCGGGCGGUGUCAAAGAGUGUGUCAGGCGGUGACAGAGUGUGUCGGGCGGUGUCAAAGAGUGUGUCGGGCGGUGUCAAAGAGUGUGUCGGGCGGUGUCAAAGAGUGUGUCGGCGGUGUCAAAGAGUGUGUCAGGCGGUGUCAAAGAGUGUGUCAGGCGGUGUCAAAGAGUGUGUCGGGCGGUGUCAAAGAGUGUGUCAGGCGGUGACAGAGUGUGUCGGGCGGUGUCAAAGAGUGUGUCGGGCGGUGUCAAAGAGUGUGUCGGGCGGUGUCAAAGAGUGUGUCGGCGGUGUCAAAGAGUGUGUCGGGCGUUGUUAAAGAGUGUGUCGGGCGGUGUCAAAGAGUGUUUCUGGCGGUGUCAAAGAGUGUGUCGGCGGUGUCAAAGAGUGUGUCGGGCGGUAUCAAAGAGUGUCGGGCGGUGUCAAAGAGUGUGUCGGGCGGUGUCAAAGAGUGUCGGCGGUGUCAAAGAGUGUGUCGGGCGGUGUCAAAGAGUGUGUCGGCGGUGUCAAAGAGUGUGUCGGGCGUUGUUAAAGAGUGUGUCGGGCGGUGUCAAAAGAGUGUGUCGGCGGUGUCAAAGAGUGUGUCGGGCGGUGUCAAAGAGUGUGUCGGGCGGUGUCAAAGAGUGUGUCGGGCGGUGUCAAAGAGUGUGUCGGGCGGUGUCAAAGAGUGUGUCGGGCGGUAUCAAAGAGUGUGUCGGGCGGUGUCAAAGAGUGUGUCAGGCGGUGUCAUAAAAGGCUGUUGGUAAAUAAACCCAACAGCACUGAGAGUCAGCUGACAGAAAACGUAUGGUAGACUUUGCUCAAUAAGACAAAUUUUUAAUGGUUGGCUGUGGGUGAACUAUGGAGGUAUGGGCCGGCAAAUAUAGGCUGUGGGAGGCGCUGAAGGAACAUUGAGCCUCACCUCCACCUUCUAGUACCACAGUGGUGAGUGAGUGAAUGAAGCGUGGCCACAGUCUACAAUUCUGAAUAUUAUGACGUUUUAUUUUGAAUUCUGAUUUGUAAUUCAGGUUGUUUGUGCUGCAUGCUAGAGGGGGAGAGCAGUGCAGACGUAUACGGCGACAGUACGGGUAUAGUGGAGUCUGUGAUGAGAGGUUUGGUAGACCCAGGGUGUCAGGUGGGUCGUGCCUGCCAGAGGGCCAAGAGAGAGUGUGAGGUUGACCAUCCGUGUGUGGGUGAUAAACAAACAUACAUCUGUACAGCCUCAUGGCGGAGGUUUUUACCAAUUCAAGACGCUUAUCAUGCCUAAUCGUAAGGACUAUUAUUGUCAUAUCUGUUCGUUGAAUAGAUCUUGUAUAACCUUGGUGUCCUAUAAAUAAAGGAUAUUUUCCAUGUAUAUCGUUGUAAUGUCAUAUAUUUGUAAGCAUUAACAUGUUAUCGUGUGAGGUGUCUCAAUACCGCGAGCUUUGCUGAAGACAAGUAAGGAAGCUGACCUGACCCUGUCGUCAGUGUUCCCGCUAACCCUCACCACGGGAGUGACUACAUCUCCACACAACAAAUCAACCUUUUAUCUUUUAAUAAACGUGAAUUCAUUUUAUCAUAACAGUUAAUCGCUAAGGUGAUCCCAGGUGUGAAAUCACCGCAUUCGGUGUGUGUGUGAAGCGGGUGUGUGGAGUUGGUGUCUGUCCUCCUCACCUAAAAUAUCUGGUCUUAGAAUAAAUAAGAGUUUAGAGUUUGUCUUACAAUGGUAAAUAUAAUAACGAGAAAGAAAAAAAAAUUGUUUUUUUUUUCAUAAAAUGAAUCACAAAUUAGACCAGUAACAACUACUUACGUUUAUGAAGAAGAAAAAUAUUGAAAAUGUGCAAGUUGAGCACAUUGUGUGCCAUUAAUUAUAUUGGUAAUCAUAAUUCUGUUGUGUGUUGACCAACAGUGUGAACCACGUAAGGACGUUCUGGGUCACUUGCCUCACCAAUGUAAGGCGGGUACGUGUGCUCCAGCUCCACACCUUACUGUGUUUACGGUAGAUGAAGGAGGACUUUCACCUCACCUCCCCGCCCGCCUCACAACCCUCCACAUGAACACGUCCUUUAUGCAAAGGUUGUUGUCAUCAGGUGUUUACUCGCUAAAGGUCGGUCAAACCAGCGUUUCCGUCUAAUGUACAUAUUGUUUCUGAUGUACCACGACACCAGGAGGCUUGUGGCCGCCACCCACCUCUAGUCACUGUACAGGCUUUACUAUCCCUCUGGCUCUAGGCUCUCAUAACCAAAGUCUUCUACACUAAUGACCUUUUUCGUCAUGCGUGACAUACGUUCUUCUCUCUCACCUGUACUUGGUGAGCCACUACUUCAGUGAACCUUGUUAGGAGUCUUUCUUAUUAACAUGGUAUUAUUGUUAUUAUUAAGAUAUACCUAUGUUAAACUCUCUCUCUCUCUCUCUCUCUCUCUCUCUCUCUCUCUCUCUCUCUCUCUCUAAUAAUCUUCAUUGGAUGAAUCCCUAAAUUCACGGCUUCAUGAACCCAGAGAACUCAGUGUUUCGACUGAUCUCGUGGACACUUGGAAACUUUUUCUAGCUGGUAAACUUAAGUUGUUGACGAGGAGAGGUGAACGGGAGAGACCAGAGGCGACCCUCACCACGAGCCCUGGCCAUGACCACACCACAUUAUAGCCAACCCAACAUAAUCAAAUAGUAAUGGAACCUAACCUGGUCCAAAUAUCAAUGAGACCUCUGUUUGGUUAGGUUAGGUUAGGUUUGGUGUUUUGGUUUGGUUGUUAGGAGAGAUUUAGAGCAUGGAUCACAUAAUCUAACCUAACUUAACCUAGGUCAAGCUUAUUAGCUGUAAAACACAAAUAUCUGUUAGGUCGCCGAGUGGUGUUAGUUCAGGCGUCAGGGAGAGGUAAGCGUUACAGGGACUCAGAGUCAACAUUAUCUUGCCGGGAUGCUCUCAACAGUGUGGUGUGACCCUGACCAGACUGGAUGGUGAGGUGGUACCGUGGUGGCCCCAAUCACACCUGGGCAGCCUGCGGGGUGUGUGUGUGUGUGUGUGUGCGCGCUUCACCACCCCUGACGUAAGAGUCCUGCAGCCGAGAAACUUUACCUUUGAUGCAGUUGUUUAUUUUUAUACAACACACGCUUUGCCAUGAUCAUAUGACGAGAUUUAUGUCCAUAGUUUCUAUCUAGUCCGAAACUUGUUAAAAAAUAAAUAAAUAAAUAAAAGUACAUUCCGCACCCAUUGACUUCGUAGGGUACGAACGGUCGACUCGAAGCUUCAGAAUAGCGUUCAAAGAUAUUAUUAACAUAUUAUUGGUACCUGUAUGACAAGUAUUAUUAAACGAGAGACGCUCAAUGAGGCUGCUACUUGUCACAUACUCAAGUUUUAGUGUUAAUUAAUUUUAGGGUUUCUCGAGCAAGAGGAGUCUCGAGGUUGUUAAGGGAGGCAUUGAAGCUAUGAGGAAUCUUUAUCUCCCUCUCACACCUACAAGACGGGUGGAUGGUGAUCUCUUCACUUUAUUUCGUUAUCACAGGCUCUGGCGUCACACGGAGUCGUAUAUAUAGUACAGUAUAAGUCGAGUAUUUUUUUGUUGUUAUUUUACGCUCGUUGUCGCUUCCAGAUAACAGACUAAAUUUCCUGAUAUCUCUUGCAGAUUAUCUUAAGCUAGCCAGAGUUAUCACGGGUUAUCAUAAUGUCAUCUUAAAGACUUUAUAAAGGGGGGUCACCUUGAGUUACAUCAGGCCAUACAGUCUCACCGGAACACUUGAAAUAUGAACUAAGACAUCCUGACCUAUAUUUUUAUACCCGUAAAUUUAUAAUAAAAUAAUAUAUCCUAAUUGACUGUAAGAGAGUAAUUUAACCAGAGGAAAACAAACAAUGUUGUAAAGUUGUAAAGCAAUUGUUGUUGUUGUUUUGUUUAUUUCCUUGUUGAUGUCUGAUGAAUUAAGUAAACAUCCAUUAUGAGGUGCGGCCAUCUUGGAGCAGCGAUGACAAAGUGGCCGCUACACUGUGAAGAAGAUUCUAUUGUUUCUGUGUAUCAAAGGCAACAAUCAAACAUUCAUUAUAAACCUUUAGUUAUAAAUAUAUAUAUAAUUAUCA
This 4937-nucleotide long non-coding RNA is filed under the name Homarus americanus (American lobster). RNAcentral describes it as "uncharacterized LOC121874482". The record is from RNAcentral. Lineage: Eukaryota; Metazoa; Arthropoda; Malacostraca; Decapoda; Nephropidae.